This 698-nucleotide unclassified non-coding RNA is filed under the name Hevea brasiliensis (rubber tree). The record is from RNAcentral. Lineage: Eukaryota; Viridiplantae; Streptophyta; Magnoliopsida; Malpighiales; Euphorbiaceae.
UUUUUUAAUGAAAAAUCUUUAUUUUUUAAAAAGGAAAACUUAACACAGAAAUGUUCAUAUUGUAAAUGAUAUUUGUGAAUGCCAAAUCAGGAUAUUGCAUAUUGUAAAUGAUGAGCUUGAGAAUUGAUGAUUUUAUGCCUUUUGAUCAUGACAUAUUGACAUGUUUGCACAAAUGUGAUUGAGUUGAAGCGUCACAUAAACAGUAUGUUCUGUCACUAAGCCUGCUAACUGGUGAAUACUGGCCUGACUUUUGUGCUAUACUAUAGAAUGUCUGGAUCAUUGGUUGGUGCUGAACGUGUGCCUGCAUUAGAGUAAACUUAAAAAACCAUUUCAUUCAUUGUUUUGCCCUUAGGAAAGGUGGACUUUGCAUGCUCAUUUAGGUUUUGGACUACUUUGGAUGAACUGAGUGGCGUGAGUUGUGAUGUGCUGAAAUUAUGUUGGCAUUCACGGUUUUGAGGAUUUGAACUGAACCGAAAAACCAUACUAAACCGAUAAGAAUCAAACCAAACUUAUUUUGUUGCUUUGGUUUGGUUCUUUUUCUUCACUAAGAGCCGAACCAUAACUAUGCCGAAAUCGAACUGGAAUUAUACCGAAUCGAGAACCAAUUUUAUACAUUUUUUUUAUAAUUUUUAGAUGUAUUAUAUAUUUUCAAUAUAAUUACAUAUACUUAUGUAUGUACAUAAAAUUAUGAACUAAAU